This 469-nucleotide ribosomal RNA is filed under the name uncultured beta proteobacterium. RNAcentral describes it as "bacterial SSU rRNA". It matches the Rfam family "Bacterial small subunit ribosomal RNA", at positions 189 to 649 of the family's 1533-position model. Lineage: Bacteria; Pseudomonadati; Pseudomonadota; Betaproteobacteria. The record is from RNAcentral.
GGAGGAACCAUGGGAUCGCAAGACCUUGCGCUCAUUGAGCGGCCGAUGCCUGAUUAGCUAGUUGGUGAGGUAAAGGCUUACCAAGGCGACGAUCAGUAGCUGGUCUGAGAGGACGACCAGCCACACUGGGACUGAGACACGGCCCAGACUCCUACGGGAGGCAGCAGUGGGGAAUUUUGGACAAUGGGGGAAACCCUGAUCCAGCCAUGCCGCGUGAGUGAAGAAGGCCUUCGGGUUGUAAAGCUCUUUCAGCCGGAACGAAACGGUCACGGCUAAUACCUGUGACUACUGACGGUACCGGAAGAAGAAGCACCGGCUAACUACGUGCCAGCAGCCGCGGUAAUACGUAGGGUGCGAGCGUUAAUCGGAAUUACUGGGCGUAAAGCGUGCGCAGGCGGUUUUGUAAGUCAGAUGUGAAAUCCCCGGGCUUAACCUGGGAACUGCGUUUGAAACUACAAAGCUAGAAGGG